UUACAUGUUCCGACUCCUUCGCUGGUCGCGCCGUCGACCAUCAAUCUCAGGAGGAUCACGUUUGUUCAUUUCAUCGAGAGCACCAUUCCAGAACUAUUUUAAAAAAAAAAAAAAAAUGGAGCAAGGAAAAUUCAUCUCAAAAAAGCGAUUCCGUUCGAUUCAGUUGGCGAUUUCAAGCGUUCUGAAUUGAUCCCAGUGGCGGUCGCCCGCGUCAACAGCCUCUUCAAUGCCGCGACUCAUCUCCUUCGUUUCCCUUCCGCGGCCGAGAGCUUCGAAAUGUUGUCGUUCCGCUCGAAGCUUCUCCACCUGUUCAGGUUUCGAUCAUCGACACGUUCUAUAGCUUCUUUCAGUGAUUCGUGCGCCAAACCGCGGCCUCAGUCCACUUGAUUAACCGGGUAGCAUCUCCUGUUCUGUCGUCACAAGUAAGAGGCCGAGAGUCCGAUUCUCUUAUUAUGAUGAAAUUGAUCAUAGCUGACUUUUUUUUUCUUUGACUUCGAACAUCAUGUACUGAUUUAGGUUGAGUCUAGUUACAAAUUUGGGUUCGAAAUGGCUUUGAUCUGUUCCACAACCGAUUCACCAUAAUCUGUUCGAUGAAAUGUGUCUCAGACCUUGGUGUGAAUUGAUUCCAGUAAUCGUCCGAUUUGAAAGCACAUUAGUGAUGUUCACUUGAUAUUGUUUGAUUUUUUAAUCUUUAGACAUGAUUACGAGUAUACACCAAUAGUUGCCAAGGAUGAAACUGACUCUCCGUUUGUUUCCUCGGUGGUUCCUGUGAUCUUUUGGUGAUUGGUGGUGGUUGGCGAGACGAGAAGGCUUGGAGUCACUGGCACACGCGUGAUCUUUGGUGAUGAUCAUAGUACACCCUGUUGAACAGAAUUCAGAUGACGUCGCUGAGCAUGAAUCGCGAUCACGCCAAUUCAGAUCACUAACUUUGGCCGACACAUGUUUCGGUCACUAACUGGAGCAAUGUUAUGGCUACUUGCUAGCCUUAUCGUUGCUGCUGAGUUGCCUCACAAUUUCCUCAACCGCCGAGCUUUUCUUCUGUCCAUGCCUUGCAGUCCAUCGUUGCCAUUGUAAUUGCUGUGGAUUUUGCGCAUCUUCUUAAACCGAAUCAUGGGAAAGCUAAGCGGUUCGAAGUCCAGUCGUCAUGGGGUCAAUACUUUGUCACAAAAUCAUCGCAGAUUACCUGCUUUGCCAUUCCUGUCUUGUCCUUUGGUUAUUGAUUACUCCACCUUCGUCAAUUUCAUUGUCCAGAAGCAGGUGCUAAAUCUGAGAACACCCACUAAAAUGAUAUUUUAUUUGUGUCGUCUACUUCCUGCUUUAUUCUCUGUGCAUGACAUAUUCUACUUCACACGUGCUGUCGAGGGAAAUCAUGGUCGACAAUCAAUAUGAAGUGAGCAAGUUAUAUUUACUCUCUGUCAUUAGUUGAUAAGCUUUUGGGUAUGACAAUCAAGGAAUGAAACCAGUUAGUAGCUUGCUCAGAAUUAGUAAAUGAGGAUUUAUUUCUUUCUUGGAAGUGUCAAUGUCAUUGCUUUGUCUCUGAUCGUGGAAAGAGUUUAUUGUUCUUUUUGAACUUGCAUAAAAAUCGAUGGAAUGCUUAUGAAGCAGUGAGAUACCCGAAAUUUACAAGUUA
Eucalyptus grandis is the source of this 1630-nucleotide long non-coding RNA. RefSeq lists it as uncharacterized. The transcript is spliced from 2 exons. The record is from RefSeq and is a predicted model, not a curated record. NCBI's taxonomy places the organism in Eukaryota, Viridiplantae, Streptophyta, Magnoliopsida, Myrtales, Myrtaceae.